ACAGAAGAGGUGCGUUACCUAGGUAGCAAAAUUGAAGGGCCCAACCCUAAAUCAAUUUUGUGAGGGAGAGUAACGCCGAGAUAUCACCUGUUUGGGGCAGAUGAUAUCGGCUAUGAGAGUUGAAUCUCUCAGGCUGUCAUCUAAGUCAGGUUGACGAUGAUGGGGAGCUUCUGGG
Molecule: non-coding RNA, 175 nt
Filed under: uncultured Photobacterium sp.
Lineage: Bacteria; Pseudomonadati; Pseudomonadota; Gammaproteobacteria; Vibrionales; Vibrionaceae
Description: Lysine riboswitch
Rfam family: Lysine riboswitch aptamer
About the family: Riboswitches are metabolite binding domains within certain messenger RNAs that serve as precision sensors for their corresponding targets. Allosteric rearrangement of mRNA structure is mediated by ligand binding, and this results in modulation of gene expression. This family includes riboswitches that sense lysine in a number of genes involved in lysine metabolism, including lysC.
Source: RNAcentral